AUCUGGUUCGAUUCAUGAUCGCAUCUGCAAACCUUAUCCCGUGGGCUUUAGCGGACGUUUUUCAUUCUUCACCCGGUCCUUAGUAGCCUUUCCAAAGUCAACCUAACCGGUUACCUUUUCCAAGGCGCUAAAUAGGCCUUCGCCCUUACGCCUUUAUAUAUAAUAGAAGAAAAUUAGAUAGUUGUAUAUAGAAUUAGCCAGAUCGUCUGAAGCAUGAACAGAAUCGCCUUUGUUCUGAAGGCCUAGCGAGUUCCUUUUUUUUUUUUCAAAGGCGGUCCUUUUCUUUCCUCGGACCGAUGACUCGCUUGUUCAGUACUGCUAACUAUUAUAGGAGGAUGUCGCCCCCUCGGGACUACCAGUAGCUUCGGUUGUUGAAUCUCGUGCAAGUUAGGUUGUGGUUGUAUUGGCUGCAAGCGGAACGUAGGCGCUUUAGGUGUGUGUUGACCAUGCACUCUCGCUUCGUGUAAUGUCGUAUGUAUGAUAGAGGUAGUGUGGUGAUUGACCUCAAUGCUAAUGGUG
RNAcentral lists this long non-coding RNA (519 nucleotides) under Nicotiana benthamiana. RNAcentral's name for it is "long non-coding RNA (NBEN_LNC017485)". The record is from RNAcentral. Lineage: Eukaryota; Viridiplantae; Streptophyta; Magnoliopsida; Solanales; Solanaceae.